AAAGAAACUAACAAGGAUUCCCUUAGUAACUGCGAGUGAAGAGGGAAGAGCUCAAAUUUAAAAUCUGGCAGUGUUUUGCUGUCCGAGUUGUAAUCUAGAGAAGUGCUGCCCGUGCUGGACCAUGUACAAGUCUCCUGGAAUGGAGCGUCACAGAGGGUGAGAAUCCCGUCUUUGACAUGGACUACCAGUGCAUUUGUGGUGUGCUCUCAAAGAGUCGAGUUGUUUGGGAAUGCAGCUCUAAAUGGGUGGUAAACUCCAUCUAAAGCUAAAUAUUGGCGAGAGACCGAUAGCGAACAAGUACCGUGAGGGAAAGAUGAAAAGAACUUUGGAAAGAGAGUUAAACAGUAUGUGAAAUUGUUGAAAGGGAAACGCUUAAAGUCAGUCGUGUCGGCCAGGGAUCAACUCAGCUUUCUCUGCUGGGUGUACUUCCUGAUCUGAUGGGCCAACAUCAGUUUUGACUGCUGGAGAAGGGCAGAGGGAAUGUGGCACCUUCGGGUGUGUUAUAGCUCUCUGUCAGAUGCAGUGGUUGGGACUGAGGAAAGCAGCAUGCCGCAAGGCCGGGUCGUUUCGACCACGUUCAUUGCUGAGGAUGUUGGCAUAAUGGCUUUAAUCGACCCGUCUUGA
RNAcentral lists this ribosomal RNA (624 nucleotides) under Amanita muscaria (fly agaric). RNAcentral's name for it is "LSU rRNA". It matches the Rfam family "Eukaryotic large subunit ribosomal RNA", at positions 58 to 657 of the family's 3401-position model. The record is from RNAcentral. Lineage: Eukaryota; Fungi; Basidiomycota; Agaricomycetes; Agaricales; Amanitaceae.